This is an RNA transcript of Mus pahari (shrew mouse), 1923 nucleotides long. It is a transcript of the gene named WW domain-binding protein 11 pseudogene, with no coding region annotated. The transcript has a single exon. The record is from RefSeq and is a predicted model, not a curated record. NCBI's taxonomy places the organism in Eukaryota, Metazoa, Chordata, Mammalia, Rodentia, Muridae.
UUUUUUUUUAGUGAAGAAGUAAAUCAUAUAAAUUGUCAAACAUGGGACAAAGAUCAACAUCCUCCACUAAGAGUGGGAAGUUUCUGAACCCCACAGACCAAGUCCGAAGGGAAGCCCGGAAAAGAGAAUUGAAAAGGAACAAACGACAGCGUAUGAUGGUCCGAGCUGCGGUUUUGAGGAUGAAAGAUCCCAAACAGAUUUUCGGGACAUGGAGAAAUUGGACAAAAUUAAGUUUAACCCAGUGCAACAGCCACAGUUGAGUGAGAAAGUACUGAAAGACAAGCGUAAAAAGCUGCAGGAAACCUUUGAACGAAUUCUACGACUUUAUGAAAAGGAAAACCCAGAUAUUUACAAAGAUUUGAGAAAACUAGAAGUAGAAUAUGAGCAGAAGAGAGCUCAACUGAGCCAGUACUUUGAUGCUGUCAAGAACACUCAGUAUGUGGAUGUAGAGAGCAUCCCUUUGCCAGACACGCAGCAUGUGCCUUCCAACAUCUUGAUCCAGGACAUUCCUCUUCCUGGUGCCCAGCCACCCUCCAUCCGGAAGAAAACCUCAGCAUAUGGGCCUCCAACUCGAGCAGUUUCUAUACUUCCUCUCCUGGGACAUGGUGUUCCACGUUUGCCCCAUAGCAGAAAACCCCCAGGUCCUCCACCCGGCCCACCUCCUCCUCAAGUUCUGCAGAUGCAUGGCUGUAAAGUGGGCUUUACUCUAGAUCUUCCCCCUCGGAGGAGAAAUGAAGACAUGCUGCAUAGUCCAGAACUUGCUCAGCGGGAUGAUGAUGAUGCUGUAUCCAGUACCAGUGAAGAUGACAGCUAUCCUGAGGACAUGGAUCAGGAUAAGCCUGAGGAUCAUGACACUGACAGAUCAGACACUGAAAAUGACAGGGAUGAUUUUGGUCACUGUGAUGACAGUGAGCGCGACAGUGCUGAGGAGAAGUCAGGUCUGAACAUCCGAUUUGCUGCUAUGCCUGGAAAAUCGAAGAAGAAGAAGAGCAUGAAGGAGCUGAGCCCUCUUCAAGUCAUGAUGCUUCGCAUGGUAGGUCAGGAAAUCCCUGAGGAAGGACGGGGAGUGGAGGGAUUUUCAGAGGCGAAUGACGAUGAUGACAAUGACGAGUUUGAUGAUUCUGAAGCAGAAAAGCAAUCCCAAAAGCAGCAUAAAGAAGAUUCCCACUCUGAUGGCACAUCUGCCGCCUUUUCACAGCAGCGGGCUCCUCCUCCACAGUCCGUUCCUCCUUCUCAGAUACGAACACCUCUCAUGCCAGGACCACCACGUCUUGGACCACCACCUGCUCCACCCUUAUGGCCUCUUGGACCAUCUACAGGCCUUCCUCCUGGGCCACCCCCAGCAGUUCCUCCAUUCCUGAGACCACCUGGAAUGCCAGGGAUCCAAGGUCCUUUACCACGGUUUUUACUUCCAGGACUACCACCAGGCCGACCUCCUGGCCCUGCCCCAGGCCUACAUCCAGAUCUUCCCCCUGGGCCACGUCCUCGAGGACCCCUAGCAAGGCUACCUCCUCCUGCACCUCCAGGUAUCCCUCCUCCUCCUCCUGGCAUGAUGCAUUCACACUUGAUACCGCCCCUUGGACCUGCCCCACCUGGCCUUUUCCCACCAGCUCCCUUGCUCAACCCAGAGGUAUUGAGCGCCCCUCCCAGCAGCCAUCCAGAAGAAAGCCACAGUGACUAUCAGUGCCAAGCCCCAGAUCACCAAUCCCAAGGCAGAGGUCACCUGGUUUGUGCCCACUGCACUGAGGAUACGCCGCAAGAAUAGCGAGGCUACUGCCGUUCUCCAAAGAAGGUCAGAGGAUGACUGUUGUGCCUGCUGCCAAAGCAGCCCCCAGAACUGGUUCUUCAGUUUCUGUCUCAGUACAAACUAAGGACGAUGUUUAUGAAGCAUUUAGGAAAGAGAUGGAAGGGCUGCUGUGACAG